AUUGAACGCUGGCGGAAUGCUUCACACAUGCAAGUCGAACGGCAGCAUAGGUGCUUGCACCUGAUGGCGAGUGGCGAACGGGUGAGUAAUACAUCGGAACGUGCCCAGUCGUGGGGGAUAACGUAGCGAAAGUUACGCUAAUACCGCAUACGAUCUAAGGAUGAAAGCGGGGGACCGUAAGGCCUCGCGCGAUUGGAGCGGCCGAUGUCAGAUUAGGUAGUUGGUGAGGUAAAGGCUCACCAAGCCGACGAUCUGUAGCUGGUCUGAGAGGGCGACCAGCCACACUGGGACUGAGACACGGCCCAGACUCCUACGGGAGGCAGCAGUGGGGAAUUUUGGACAAUGGACGCAAGUCUGAUCCAGCCAUUCCGCGUGCAGGACGAAGGCCUUCGGGUUGUAAACUGCUUUUGUACGGAACGAAAAAGCUCUUACUAAUACUAGGAGUCCAUGACGGUACCGUAAGAAUAAGCACCGGCUAACUACGUGCCAGCAGCCGCCGUAA
This 502-nucleotide ribosomal RNA is filed under the name uncultured bacterium. RNAcentral's name for it is "partial 16S ribosomal RNA". It matches the Rfam family "Bacterial small subunit ribosomal RNA", at positions 30 to 523 of the family's 1533-position model. The record is from RNAcentral.